This 252-nucleotide unclassified non-coding RNA is filed under the name plant metagenome. Its description in RNAcentral is "partial contains small subunit ribosomal RNA, internal transcribed spacer 1, and 5.8S ribosomal RNA". The record is from RNAcentral.
UCUCCGUUGGUGAACCAGCGGAGGGAUCAUUACCGAGUUUACAACUCCCAAACCCCUGUGAACUUAUACCUUUACUGUUGCGUCGGCGGGUCAUUGCCCCGGGGAAACAGGCGGCCGUCAGGUCCCUGCCCACCCGGAAACAGGCGCCCGCCGGGGGACUCAAACUCUUCUGUAUUUUUUUGUUUACUGUAUACUGUCUGAGUAAAAAUUCAUAAUGAAUCAAAACUUUCAACAACGGAUCUCUUGGUUCUG